UCGUCAGCUCGUGUCGGAGAUGUUGGUUAAAUCCCGCAACGAGCGCAACCCUUGCCUUUAGUUCCAGCAUUAAGUUGGGCACUCUAGAUGGACUGCCGAGGACAACUCGGAGGAAGGUGGGGGUGACGUCAAAUCAUCAUGCCCCUUAUCUUAGGGCUACACACGUGCUACAAUGGGCAUACAGAGGGUUGCAAGCCGUGAGGUGGAGGUAAUCCCUUAAAGCCAUUCUCAGUUCGGAUUGUAGGCUGAAACUCGCCUACAUGAAGCUGGAGUUACUAGUAAUCGCAGGUCAGAAUGCUGCGGGGAAAGCGUUCCCGGGUCUUGUACACCCCGCCCGUCACCCCAUGGGAGUUGGGGGCGCCCGAAACCGGUUAGCUAACCCUUUAGGAGGCAACCGUCGAAGGCGGAGCCAAUGACUGGGGUGAAGUCGUAACAAGGUAGCCGUA
Molecule: ribosomal RNA, 446 nt
Filed under: uncultured bacterium
Lineage: Bacteria
Description: bacterial SSU rRNA
Rfam family: Bacterial small subunit ribosomal RNA
Source: RNAcentral